GACGUAGGGCGCAAGCGUUGUCCGGAAUUAUUGGGCGUAAAGAGCUCGUAGGCGGCUUGUUGCGUCGACUGUGAAAAACCACGACUCAACCGUGGGACUGCAGUCGAUACGGGCAGGCUAGAGUUCGGUAGGGGGAGACUGGAAUUCCUGGUGUAGCGGUGAAAUGCACAGAUAUCAGGAGGAACACCGGUGGCGAAGGCGGGUCUCUGGGCCGAUACUGACGCUGAGGAGCGAAAGCGUGGGGAGCGAACAGG
RNAcentral lists this ribosomal RNA (254 nucleotides) under uncultured bacterium. Its description in RNAcentral is "partial 16S ribosomal RNA". It matches the Rfam family "Bacterial small subunit ribosomal RNA", at positions 524 to 776 of the family's 1533-position model. The record is from RNAcentral.